RNAcentral lists this ribosomal RNA (465 nucleotides) under uncultured bacterium. RNAcentral describes it as "partial 16S ribosomal RNA". It matches the Rfam family "Bacterial small subunit ribosomal RNA", at positions 28 to 507 of the family's 1533-position model. The record is from RNAcentral.
GACGAACGCUGGCGGCGUGCUUAACACAUGCAAGUCGAACGGAAAGGCCCUGCUUGCAGGGUACUCGAGUGGCGAACGGGUGAGUAACACGUGGGUGAUCUGCCCUGCACUUCGGGAUAAGCCUGGGAAACUGGGUCUAAUACCGGAUAAGAGCCAUUUUUAGUGUGAUGGUUGGAAAGUUUUUUCGGUGUAGGAUGAGCUCGCGGCCUAUCAGCUUGUUGGUGGGGUAAUGGCCUACCAAGGCGGCGACGGGUAGCCGGCCUGAGAGGGUGGACGGCCACAUUGGGACUGAGAUACGGCCCAGACUCCUACGGGAGGCAGCAGUGGGGAAUAUUGCACAAUGGGCGCAAGCCUGAUGCAGCGACGCCGCGUGGGGGAUGACGGCCUUCGGGUUGGAAACUCCUUUCGCUAGGGACGAAGCUUUUUGUGACGGUACCUAGAUAAGAAGCACCGGCUAACUACGUG